ACGUCCAUACUAUGUUUAAUACACUGGUUGUUAUCCGAUCACCAAAGUUUAGCAGCAUCAGGCACUAUUAAUCCUUGGAUGGGUGAUCUCCUGGGAACAGCCUGUGAUGUU
This is a non-coding RNA of Eumeta japonica, 111 nucleotides long. The record is from the annotation of a GenBank genome assembly. Lineage: Eukaryota; Metazoa; Arthropoda; Insecta; Lepidoptera; Psychidae.